This 456-nucleotide ribosomal RNA is filed under the name uncultured bacterium. Its description in RNAcentral is "SSU rRNA". It matches the Rfam family "Bacterial small subunit ribosomal RNA", at positions 26 to 518 of the family's 1533-position model. The record is from RNAcentral.
AGGAUGAACGCUGGCGGCGUGCCUAAUACAUGCAAGUCGAGCGGUAAGGCCUCUUCGGAGGUACACGAGCGGCGGACGGCUGAGUAACACGUAGGAACGUACCCCAAAGUGAGGGAUAAGCACCAGAAAUGGUGUCUAAUACCACAUGUGAUCUUCGGAUUAAAGCUCCGGCGCUUUGGGAACGGCCUGCGCAUGAUUAGCUUGUUGGUGAGGUAAUGGCUCACCAAGGCGACGAUCAUUAGCUGGUCUGAGAGGAUGAUCAGCCAGACUGGGACUGAGAACGGCCCAGACUCCUACGGGAGGCAGCAGUAGGGAAUUUUCCACAAUGGGCGAAAGCCUGAUGGAGCAACGCCGCGUGCAGGAUGAAUGCCUUCGGGUUGUAAACUGCUUUUUAUAUGUGACGAAUAUGACGGUAGCAUAUGAAUAAGGAUCGGCUAACUCCGUGCCAGUAGCCGC